Long non-coding RNA from Acanthochromis polyacanthus (spiny chromis), 426 nucleotides. RefSeq lists it as uncharacterized. The transcript is spliced from 3 exons. Lineage: Eukaryota; Metazoa; Chordata; Actinopteri; Pomacentridae. The record is from RefSeq and is a predicted model, not a curated record.
CCAGGAUUCAUCAGGAGUCUUGUUGCCAGAUGCCUUUCUACCUGGACAGUGAGGAACAACAGGACAAGCUUUUUGGGUUCCUAAAGGCUGUACUGCACAGAACACCAACACAGCUGAGCUUCACAGAUGCAGUGCAGUUCAUCUGUGGUGUUCUCUUUCCAGAGGCCAUCAUAUGUGGGCUGUCUAUGCAGGACAAUCUGUCCCUGCAGGAGGCUGAGCAGGUCUUCUUCAGUGGUGCUGCUUACCAUCAAAGUGAUAAUGUCUGACUACUAUUUCAGUGAAGUGGAGGAAUUCUCCUGAAGGAUCAAAAGACCUGAAGAAAGAAGGCAGACUGUUGGUAUGUGCUGCUCAUUUCAAAGGAGCUGUAUUGGCAUGAACUGUUAAAAAUAAAAUAUAUUUUAUUAACUAAGUGAAAUAUGUUCAGUU